AUUGAACGCUGGCGGCAUGCCUUACACAUGCAAGUCGAACGGCAGCACGGGAGCAAUCCUGGUGGCGAGUGGCGAACGGGUGAGUAAUAUAUCGGAACGUGCCCAGUCGUGGGGGAUAACGUAGCGAAAGCUACGCUAAUACCGCAUACGAUCUACGGAUGAAAGCGGGGGAUCGCAAGACCUCGCGCGAUUGGAGCGGCCGAUAUCAGAUUAGGUAGUUGGUGAGGUAAAGGCUCACCAAGCCGACGAUCUGUAGCUGGUCUGAGAGGACGACCAACCACACUGGGACUGAGACACGGCCCAGACGCCUACGGGAGGCAGCAGUGGGGAAUUUUGGACAAUGGGCGCAAGCCUGAUCCAGCAAUGCCGCGUGCAGGAUGAAGGCCUUCGGGUUGUAAACUGCUUUUGUACGGAACGAAACGGUGAGCUCUAAUACAGUUUGCUAAUGACGGUACCGUAAGAAUAAGCACCGGCUAACUACGUGCCAGCCGCCGCAGUAA
RNAcentral lists this ribosomal RNA (500 nucleotides) under uncultured bacterium. RNAcentral's name for it is "partial 16S ribosomal RNA". It matches the Rfam family "Bacterial small subunit ribosomal RNA", at positions 30 to 523 of the family's 1533-position model. The record is from RNAcentral.